RNAcentral lists this ribosomal RNA (427 nucleotides) under uncultured Acidibacter sp. RNAcentral describes it as "bacterial SSU rRNA". It matches the Rfam family "Bacterial small subunit ribosomal RNA", at positions 355 to 774 of the family's 1533-position model. The record is from RNAcentral. Lineage: Bacteria; Pseudomonadati; Pseudomonadota; Gammaproteobacteria.
UGGGGAAUAUUGGACAAUGGGGGAAACCCUGAUCCAGCGACGCCGCGUGUGUGAAGAAGGCCUGCGGGUUGUAAAGCACUUUUAGUGGGGAUGAAAAGUUCAGGGUUAACACCUCUGGAUCUUGACCUAACCCACAGAAAAAGCACCGGCUAACUCUGUGCCAGCAGCCGCGGUAAUACAGAGGGUGCAAGCGUUAAUCGGAAUUACUGGGCGUAAAGCGUGCGUAGACGGUUACAUAAGUCGGGUGUGAAAGCCCCGGGCUCAACCUGGGAAUUGCAUUCGAGACUGUGUAGCUAGGGUACGGAAGAGGGAAGCGGAAUUUCAGGUGUAGCGGUGAAAUGCGUAGAUAUCUGAAGGAACACCAGUGGCGAAAGCGGCUUCCUGGUCCAGUACCGACGUUCAGGCACGAAAGCGUGGGGAGCAAACA